RNAcentral lists this ribosomal RNA (450 nucleotides) under uncultured bacterium. RNAcentral describes it as "partial 16S ribosomal RNA". It matches the Rfam family "Bacterial small subunit ribosomal RNA", at positions 354 to 796 of the family's 1533-position model. The record is from RNAcentral.
GUGGGGAAUUUUGGACAAUGGGCGCAAGCCUGAUCCAGCAAUGCCGCGUGCAGGAAGAAGGCCUUCGGGUUGUAAACUGCUUUUGUACGGAACGAAACGGUCCUGGCUAAUAUCCGGGGCUAAUGACGGUACCGUAAGAAUAAGCACCGGCUAACUACGUGCCAGCAGCCGCGGUAAUACGUAGGGUGCGAGCGUUAAUCGGAAUUACUGGGCGUAAAGCGUGCGCAGGCGGUGCUGUAAGACAGGCGUGAAAUCCCCGGGCUCAACCUGGGAAUUGCGAUUGGGACUGCAAGGCUGGAGUGCGGCAGAGGGGGAUGGAAUUCCGCGUGUAGCAGUGAAAUGCGUAGAUAUGCGGAGGAACACCGAUGGCGAAGGCAAUCCCCUGGGCCUGCACUGACGCUCAUGCACGAAAGCGUGGGGAGCAAACAGGAUUAGAUACCCUAGUAGUCC